Molecule: transfer RNA, 86 nt
Filed under: Actomonas lomoniglobus
Lineage: Bacteria; Pseudomonadati; Verrucomicrobiota; Opitutia; Opitutales; Opitutaceae
Description: Synoicihabitans lomoniglobus tRNA-Leu
Rfam family: tRNA
About the family: Transfer RNA (tRNA) molecules are approximately 80 nucleotides in length. Their secondary structure includes four short double-helical elements and three loops (D, anti-codon, and T loops).
Source: RNAcentral
GCUCAAGUGGUGGAAGAGAAUACACGGCGGCUUCAAACCCCGCUGCCCAACGUGGCAUGAGGGUGCAAAUCCCUCCUUGAGCACCA